RNAcentral lists this ribosomal RNA (501 nucleotides) under uncultured bacterium. Its description in RNAcentral is "partial 16S ribosomal RNA". It matches the Rfam family "Bacterial small subunit ribosomal RNA", at positions 29 to 523 of the family's 1533-position model. The record is from RNAcentral.
AUUGAACGCUGGCGGCAUGCCUUACACACGCAAGUCGAACGGCAGCACGGGUGCUUGCACCUGGUGGCGAGUGGCGAACGGGUGAGUAAUACAUCGGAACGUACCUUAUCGUGGGGGAUAACGCAGCGAAAGCUGUGCUAAUACCGCAUACGCCCUGAGGGGGAAAGCGGGGGAUCGAAAGACCUCGCGCGAUUAGAGCGGCCGAUGCCUGAUUAGCUUGUUGGUGGGGUAAAAGCCCACCAAGGCGACGAUCAGUAGCUGGUCUGAGAGGACGAUCAGCCACACUGGGACUGAGACACGGCCCAGACUCCUACGGGAGGCAGCAGUGGGGAAUUUUGGACAAUGGGGGCAACCCUGAUCCAGCAAUGCCGCGUGAGUGAAGAAGGCCUUCGGGUUGUAAAGCUCUUUUGUCAGGGAAGAAACACCGGCUCUAACACAAUCCGGGAAUGACGGUACCUGAAGAAUAAGCACCGGCUAACUACGUGCCAGCAGCCGCCGUAA